UACGUAGGGCGCAAGCGUUAAUCGGAAUUACUGGGCGUAAAGCGUGCGCAGGCGGUUGUGCAAGACCGAUGUGAAAUCCCCGGGCUUAACCUGGGAAUGGCAUUGGUGACUGCACGGCUAGAGUGUGUCAGAGGGGGGUAGAAUUCCACGUGUAGCAGUGAAAUGCGUAGAGAUGUGGAGGAAUACCGAUGGCGAAGGCAGCCCCCUGGGAUAACACUGACGCUCAUGCACGAAAGCGUGGGGAGCAAACAGG
RNAcentral lists this ribosomal RNA (253 nucleotides) under uncultured bacterium. Its description in RNAcentral is "partial 16S ribosomal RNA". It matches the Rfam family "Bacterial small subunit ribosomal RNA", at positions 524 to 776 of the family's 1533-position model. The record is from RNAcentral.